Molecule: long non-coding RNA, 3825 nt
Organism: Passer domesticus (house sparrow)
Lineage: Eukaryota; Metazoa; Chordata; Aves; Passeriformes; Passeridae
Exons: 3
Source: RefSeq, a predicted model, not a curated record
GAAGGGAAGGGAAGGGAAGGGAAGGGAAGGGAAGGGAAGGGAAGGGAAGGGAUAGACUGUAACUUGUCGAAUAAAGUGAUUGGGAGACCUGGAGAUCUGGUUUAUGAGCAAAUGAAUAGGUCAUUAAAGAAGAAUGAAUUAAAGAUCAGAGUGUAAAAUGCCAACAUGGUGCAGAGCAAAUGCUGGGAAUUGUAACCUUGUUAGUAUAGAAAACUAUGAAACAAGUUGCACAACUAGGUUCUCUUCUCCAAGGUUGUCAGAUGUAUAAAGAUUGUGUACAUGACUGCUGCAUCCACAAAAUAUAGCAUUCAAAUCACCUUGAAAGAUAUCUUUUUUGUUAAAACCAACAAGCAUUUUUUGUUCUAUAAUUGGGGCAAGUAAAAGGGAGCAAAGUGGGCUCUGUACUUUUAUUUGAGGGAUCUAUUCCCUUGGAAAGAUAGACCUUUAAGGCAGUAUGUAUUUCUGUGAUAAUUCACCAAGAACCAAGUUUUGCACCUGUAGGUAAGCAGACCACUGACAGAGGACAAGACUUUUACAGCAUAGUUAAAGGAAUGACAAAGAUAUCCUGUUGUUUAAAAGAAGAAGGAGUAGAAAAAGGAGAAGAAUAAUGAACAGGGAAGAAAAAGGGCAAUCCACUAUUUCUAAACAAUCAUGUUGUAAUAUUGAAUGUCUUACAUUUCUCCUGUGGGAGGACCAUGCUUUCACUUCUCAGGGCAUCUUCAGUUUCUCAGAGGACUACACCUUGUGGUCUUCUGAGUAACCACUCAUGAAAAUCUUUAUUUUUUUAUUCUAUUACUUAUGACAUUUGAUGGCAGAGAAACAAAGGAGUGGAGUGCUGUUGGUGGGGUGUUUUGAAGCUAAGCUAUUGUUUGAGUCAGUGCAAUGGUUAGAUUGCCUUUCCAGAUUAAAACAGUCCUGGAAAAGCAGAAAAUGAGGUUAACUGUCUAAUUUCAACUGAACACAUUUGUGUAUUUCAUACCAACUAAAAUGUUCUGACUAAAAAAAAAAUAGACAAGUGGCUUUAACUUAAUUUAGUAAAUGCAUAUGGCAUUUUCACAUUUAAAGAAAAGACUAAUUAAUAACAACUGUCAUUUAAAACCCAGCUACUUUACAAAAGUACAUUUCUCCAUAGAUUUCUACUUUGGUUUUUACUAUGACUAGAUGAGGACACAACAUCAGUCGUUCCUCAUAUGGCUUGUGUUCCAAGCCCCUCACCAGCCUCGUUGCUCUCCUUUGGACACGCUCAAGCAUCUCAGCGUCCCUCCUAAACUGAGGGGCCCAGAACUGGACACAGUACUCAAGGUGUGGCCUCACCAGUGCCGAGUACAGGGGAAGAAUGACCUCCCUGCUCCUGCUGGACACACUAUUCCUGAUACUGGCCAGGAUGCCAUUGGCCUUCUGGGUUUGUUUAGCCUGGAGAAGAGAAGACUCAGAGGUGACCUUAUCACUCUCUACAACUUCCUGAAGGGUGGCUGUAGUGAGCUGGGGGUCAGUCUCUUUCUCCGAGCAACAACAGAUAGAACAAGAGGACACAGUCUCAAGCUGCGCCAAGGGAGAUACAGGUUAGACCUAAGGAGGAAGUUUUUCACAGAAAGAGUGGUCAAACACUGGAAUCAUCUGCCCAGGGAGGUGGUAGAGUCACCAUCCCUGGAUGUGUUUAAAAGGAGACUAGAUGUGGCACUUAGUGCCAUGACCUAGUUGAGGUAUAAGAUAGGAUGGGUUGGACUCAAUGAUCUUGAAGGUCUCUUCCAACCUAGAAAUUCUGUGAUUCUGUGAUUCUGUAAAUACUUCAUUUCUCGUUAGACUAAGCUUCAUUUGAGCUCUUCCAGUCUAUUAUUCAAAUUGUAUCAUAUUAAAAUUUAUUGAUACGUAUUUAAUUGGAAGAUGACAGCAUCUCUUAUUAGCUACUUAAACCGAGACCAACAGCUGAAAAAUAUCAGCAUGAAAGCUGUACAAACAAAAAUCUUGCAAACCAAAGAAUCAUGCUUAUUUGCUGAGAUCUUACACUGAACAAAAUCACUUCAACCCACAAAUAACAAUCGUGUUAGUGAGUAAUUAAAACAAGGGACAAAGUCAGGACUACAAUAUUCUAUUCCUAAUUCAGCUACUGACUCACAGUGUGAUUUUGCUCAUUUACCACCUAUAAAAUGGAAGAUGUGAUAAUGAUAAUGACAGGGAUAAUAAUGCCUACAUAAAAGAAGUGCUAGGAGUCUUAAUGUUUGAAAAGAGCUUUGAGAUAGGGCUGCUAUAUAAACACAGAUUAUAAUUAACAAGGGACUGCAAGCUUGCACAAUUGGUACUUUCUUUGGGCUUUCAGAGGCAAAGAUAGGCGAACUCUGUAUAUUUGAGAUAUCAUGAGUCCUCUGUUUUAAGAGCUUAUUUGGGAAAUUAUGUUUCACAGCUGCCAUUACACUGUGUUGGAGCCAAGCUUUUAAGAAGUCCUAACUAUUUGCCAGUCAUUAACACAAGAAACUUUAAAGGCAGUUCAGAAUAAUCUUAUCACUGUGACUACUGGCUCCAGCUUGUCUUAUUGUAUUCUCUUCUUCGUAGAUAUGUGUAACAACGCAUUUACAUGAAAGACAGGAGAACAUGAACACAUGAACCUGGAGAGGAAGUUCAGUGCCUUAGUGAAUGCUGAGUGCCUGAGGCAUAGAGACCUUCCAAAACCACAAAGAGGAGCUGCAAUGAAGGUUUAGAGACUGUGGUUAGGCUGUGUCCAAUGCUUGUUUCAUGCUGUAUUGAUCCUGGCACUGCUCUUCUCAGCUUAGAAAAUGCAGAUAGAAUCAGCCCCUGGGGAACAUCUCCAGAAAAGGAGAUGCUGUGGCAGCACAGAGCAAAGAGGUUUCCCCGGAGCACCGUGCAUGGUCGUAAAAGGAGGGAGGAACCAGCAGUUCUUAACCCACAUCUUCCAGCAGCUGCAUACACGUACCUUGCUCUGCAGGAUACAGUCACAGGCAUGUAUCACCCCCAUUAGGAUCCAGACUGCAUCUCUCUGAUUGUCAUGGAGACUGUUUCAAAGUCUUGCCGUGCUCCAGCAGCAGCAGCAGCAGCAGCAGCAGCAGAGGACAAUAGCACUUGGUCUUAAAUGGCUGAAAAGAAAGCAACAAAGCACAGUGUAAAAGGGAAGGACCUGUGGCUGAAAGGGAUAUGAGUACAGCCAGACACUCUUCCCACUGCUGCAGUGGGCUAGAGGUGCAGGUUAGAGUAGAGUAACCUUGCAGAGGUGUAUAACUGUGCCUUCAAGAUAAGCAGAGGAAGAGCAUUCUCAAGGAUAGUGCAUUUCUCCUCCUUCUUUCUCCCCCUCAAGCUAAAUUGCUGGGGUGUUUUAGAUUAAAUGUGUUAAUUAGGAAACUAUUUAGUUUAUGAGGUCUUCUGCUUUUCCAUUCCCGUGGGCACUGUAAACAUACUGAGUUUUGGAGUAAGUGAUAUACAGUGUCUCGGAACGAGAGACAGGCAGAGGCACAGGCAAGUGCAAGGAAUUAAUAGAUUUGGUAGUUUGCAAGACCUGAGGCAAAGAAGUGAUUUUCAGAAAAGUGAGGUGACAGUUUUGUGUCAAAUAGCAAAUUUGCUAAAAAUGGCAAUUUAUGACCAAGCUAUUUUCAAGUCAGGUCAGUUCUCAGAAGAGUCAGGAGUAAAAGGUACAACUGAGCAACAUAAAAUGCAAGCAAACAUAAAAUGCAAAAUUCAAAUGCAAAACCAACUGGGUUUAAUCCCAUCUCAGAAAAAAAAAUCAUAAGAUCAAACUAUCGCUGUAAGUGUACUUAAUAAAAUAGAAGUAUAAACCUCAGAAAAAUUGGUUGGUGUUAAGAUGUUCAUAUUACCAAA